Molecule: ribosomal RNA, 936 nt
Filed under: Thyronectria berberidicola (nom. inval.)
Lineage: Eukaryota; Fungi; Ascomycota; Sordariomycetes; Hypocreales; Nectriaceae
Description: Thyronectria sp. RM-2019a partial large subunit ribosomal RNA
Rfam family: Eukaryotic large subunit ribosomal RNA
Source: RNAcentral
UUUGUGUACCCCGCGGCUUAAGCAUAUCAAUAAGCGGAGGAAAAGAAACCAACCGGGAUUGCCCUAGUAACGGCGAGUGAAGCGGCAACAGCUCAAAUUUGAAAUCUGGCCCUAGUGGUCCGAGUUGUAAUUUGUAGAGGAUGCUUUUGGUGCGGUACCUUCCGAGUUCCCUGGAACGGGACGCCAUAGAGGGUGAGAGCCCCGUCUGGUCGGAUACCAAUCCUCUGUAAAGCUCCUUCGACGAGUCGAGUAGUUUGGGAAUGCUGCUCAAAAUGGGAGGUAUAUGUCUUCUAAAGCUAAAUAUUGGCCAGAGACCGAUAGCGCACAAGUAGAGUGAUCGAAAGAUGAAAAGCACUUUGAAAAGAGGGUUAAAUAGUACGUGAAAUUGUUGAAAGGGAAGCGUUUGUGACCAGACUUGGGCCCGGUUAAUCAUCCGGCGUUCUCGCCGGUGCACUUUGCCGGCCCAGGCCAGCAUCAGUUCGCUGCGGGGGAAAAAGGCUUCGGGAAUGUGGCUCCUCUGGAGUGUUAUAGCCCGCUGCGUAAUACCCUGUGGUGGACUGAGGUUCGCGCAUCUGCAAGGAUGCUGGCGUAAUGGUCAUCAACGACCCGUCUUGAAACACGGACCAAGGAGUCGUCUUCGUAUGCGAGUGUUCGGGUGUCAAACCCCUACGCGUAAUGAAAGUGAACGGAGGUGGGAGCCUCGGCGCACCAUCGACCGAUCCUGAUGUUUUCGGAUGGAUUUGAGUAAGAGCAUACGGGGCCGGACCCGAAAGAAGGUGAACUAUGCCUGUAUAGGGUGAAGCCAGAGGAAACUCUGGUGGAGGCUCGCAGCGGUUCUGACGUGCAAAUCGAUCGUCAAAUAUGGGCAUGGGGGCGAAAGACUAAUCGAACCUUCUAGUAGCUGGUUUCCGCCGAGUCCUCCCCUCUCGGAUAUAA